This 349-nucleotide long non-coding RNA is filed under the name Mytilus galloprovincialis (Mediterranean mussel). Lineage: Eukaryota; Metazoa; Mollusca; Bivalvia; Mytilida; Mytilidae. The record is from RNAcentral.
AAAAAAGCCAAAUAAAUUUAAAGUUGAAGAGCAUUGAGGAUCAAUAAUUCCUAAAAGUUGUGCCAAAUAUGGCUAAGGUAAUCUACUCCUGGGGUAAGAAAAUCCUAAGUUUUUCGAAAAAUUCAAAGUUUUGUAAACAGAAAAUUUAAGGCUUUUCUACCUCAGGCAUAGAUUACCUUUAACUGGAUUUGGCAAAAUUUAAAGAAUUUUGGUCUUCAAUGCUCUUCAACUUCGUACUUUAUUUGGCCUUUUUAACUUUUUUGGAUUCGAGCGUCACUGAUGAGUCUUUUGUAGACGAAACGCGCGUCUGGCGUAUAUACAAAAUGUAGUCCUGGUAUCUAUGAUGAGU